This 1222-nucleotide ribosomal RNA is filed under the name metagenome. RNAcentral's name for it is "bacterial SSU rRNA". It matches the Rfam family "Archaeal small subunit ribosomal RNA", at positions 198 to 1421 of the family's 1478-position model. The record is from RNAcentral.
GGUGCCCAAGGAUGGGUCUGCGGCCUAUCAGGUUGUAGUGGGUGUAGCGUACCUACUAGCCUACGACGGGUACGGGUUGUGAGAGCAAGAGCCCGGAGAUGGAUUCUGAGACACGAAUCCAGGCCCUACGGGGUGCAGCAGGCGCGAAAACUUUACAAUGCCGGCAACGGCGAUAAGGGAACCUCGAGUGCCAGGUUACAAAUCUGGCUGUCGUGAUGCCUAAAAAGUAUUGCAUAGCAAGGGCCGGGCAAGACCGGUGCCAGCCGCCGCGGUAACACCGGCGGCUCGAGUGGUAACCGUUAUUAUUGGGUCUAAAGGGUCUGUAGCCGGCCGGGUAAGUCUCUUGGGAAAUCUGGCAGCUUAACUGUCAGGCUUUCAGGAGAUACUGCCUGGCUCGAGGCCGGGAGAGGUGAGAGGUACUUCAGGGGUAGGGGUGAAAUCUUGUAAUCCUUGAAGGACCACCAGUGGCGAAGGCGUCUCACCAGAACGGACCUGACGGCAAGGGACGAAAGCUAGGGGCACGAACCGGAUUAGAUACCCGGGUAGUCCUAGCCGUAAACGAUACUCGCUAGGUGUCGGCCACGGUGCGACCGUGGUCGGUGCCGUAGGGAAGCCGUGAAGCGAGCCACCUGGGAAGUACGGCCGCAAGGCUGAAACUUAAAGGAAUUGGCGGGGGAGCACCACAACGGGUGGAGCUUGCGGUUUAAUUGGAUUCAACGCCGGAAAUCUUACCGGGACCGACAGCAAUAUGAAGGCCAGGCUGAAGACUUUGCCGGAUUAGCUGAGAGGUGGUGCAUGGCCGUCGUCAGUUCGUACUGUGAAGCAUCCUGUUAAGUCAGGCAACGAGCGAGACCCACGCCCACAGUUGCCAGCGUACUCUCCGGAGUGACGGGUACACUGUGGGGACCGCCGCUGCUAAAGCGGAGGAAGGAAUGGGCAACGGUAGGUCAGUAUGCCCCGAAUAUCCCGGGCUACACGCGAGCUACAAUGGUUGGUACAAUGGGUAUCUACCCCGAAAGGGGAUGGAAAUCUCCUAAAGCCAAUCUUAGUUCGGAUUGAGGGCUGCAACUCGCCCUCAUGAAGCUGGAAUCCGUAGUAAUCGCGUUUCAACAGAACGCGGUGAAUACGUCCCUGCUCCUUGCACACACCGCCCGUCAAACCACCCGAGUAGGGUCUGAAUGAGAGCGCUUCCUUCGGAGGUGUUCGAAUUUGGGCUUUGCAA